RNAcentral lists this unclassified non-coding RNA (195 nucleotides) under plant metagenome. RNAcentral describes it as "partial contains small subunit ribosomal RNA and internal transcribed spacer 1". The stretch from base 1 to 46 matches the Rfam family "Eukaryotic small subunit ribosomal RNA", at positions 1786 to 1831 of the family's 1831-position model. The record is from RNAcentral.
AAGUCGUAACAAGGUCUCCGUAGGUGAACCUGCGGAGGGAUCAUUACCGAGUGAGGGCCCCGCCCGACCCUCCCAACCCUUUGUAAACCGACCCUGUCGCCUCGGGGACUCCGGCGUCUUCGGGCGCCGGGCCCCCGUGGACCCCGAACCCAUCUGCGUCUUUGCGUCUAAGUCUUGAAUGAUAAAUCAAUAAAA